Molecule: non-coding RNA, 28 nt
Filed under: Mus musculus (house mouse)
Lineage: Eukaryota; Metazoa; Chordata; Mammalia; Rodentia; Muridae
Source: RNAcentral
UAGCCUUUUGACUAGCCACAAUCCUGAC